CUUCUUUGUCGAUUGGAGAGACUACCGAUCGUGUUGUGGGUGUAUUCGCGAGGACGCCCUUUUUCCUAUAUCCUUCCUGGUGGAUUCAACUCUUUUGCAGAUGGAAUAAUGCCUGGCCGGAUUUCCCAGGCUUAAAGAUUUUACACCUGAGCCAACCAUCAUCGACAACAAGACGAGCAAGUUUUGCUUGUGCUGGACCUGUCAUCAUCAAUUCAAUCUCUCCGUCAUCGAUUGGAUUACCAACAUCUUCUUUGAUUGGCGAAAACUACCAGCCGAAUGACGGAUCUCUUCUUAUUUCCCCCUUUCUUUUAAAUGUCCUCGUGUACACCCAUGUGAGUGUGGGUGUAUUCACGAGGACUACCUUUUUUUUCCCUAUCCCGACUGGCGGAUUCAACUUUUUC
Molecule: long non-coding RNA, 401 nt
Organism: Daphnia pulex (common water flea)
Lineage: Eukaryota; Metazoa; Arthropoda; Branchiopoda; Diplostraca; Daphniidae
Exons: 3
Source: RefSeq, a predicted model, not a curated record